Molecule: Y RNA, 102 nt
Filed under: Carlito syrichta (Philippine tarsier)
Lineage: Eukaryota; Metazoa; Chordata; Mammalia; Primates; Tarsiidae
Description: Y RNA (ENSTSYG00000035546.1)
Rfam family: Y RNA
About the family: Y RNAs are components of the Ro ribonucleoprotein particle (Ro RNP), in association with Ro60 and La proteins.
Source: Rfam by way of RNAcentral
GGUUGGUCCAAGUGCAGUGGUCUCUACAACUAAUUGAUCACAACCAGUUACAUAUUCCAUUGUUCCUUCUCCACUCCCAUGGCUCCACUUGACUAGCCUAAA